CAAACUUGUGAUUUUAGCUGCCACAACUAAAAGAAAAUGAAUCAUUUAAAAAGAACAAUGAAAAAGGAGGUAGGCUUAAGGUUAUAUAAGGUAAUUUAUGUUGGUCAUACAAAGAAAAACCAGCUUCAAGAUUAGUUUAUCCUCCCAUGGCAAAGGAGCUACGCUAAUUUUCAGUGUCACGCAGUUGUUUGGAAUUGAUUGCAUAAACACCCUCGUUCUUAAAACCUAGAUUGUGAUAGUUUAUUUUCAUUUUUCACUUUCCUCUAUUUGAGAGAAUGUAUUCCUAGCUUGAAAGUUGGAAAUUUGCCGACAAAUUGUGCAAGUUAUGCAUCGAUUUUCUCAAUGGCCUCUCCUCUUUGGAUAUCUAGAAUGUGCUUGAUUUUCUAUUUUAGUAGAUGCAGAAGAGGAUGCCCCUUUCUACAGUUCUCAAAACAACUUAAACAGAGAGCCCUUUUGUCGAAUAACAGGCAUAGCUCGAAGAACAUCAUACGCCUGCAUCCAUUUCAAUAAAAUCAAAUUGCAGUGUGUCGGUUGAACAAACUCUGGUCUUCUUUGUUGGCUUAAUCUGAAAACUUUUGGAACCUGGGGUUUAAUGGCUCGAUGUGUUUGAAGCUCUGUUGUUUGAUUUGGUAAUUAUAUAUUUUGUAGAAAAAAGUGAUUAUGCCAGCAGUGAACGGGAUGCUGAACAUCAUGAGGUCUUGCCUCAAGGUAAAGACAAUGAGGUGUGUAUUUUUUACUUCAUCAGCUGGCACGGUUAACAAUGAAGAACAGGCAAUAAGGAAAGGGCAGUGUAUGAUGAUGAGUGCUAGAGCGACAUUCAGUUCUGCAGGACCAAGAAGAUGACAGGGAGGGUAAUCUUAGCAGCAAUAAUCAUGUAAAGUUGGAACUUCUUGACAUGCCAUAACAGCAAUUAUUGAUUGUAGCCUCAUCUCUUGAAAUUUUGAUUAUUCUAAUUGUAUUUGUUUCCUUACUCCUUAUCUUUUGUUAGUACGAUCAUCAUAUUGUAGGAACAAAAAGAAGUAGCAAUGGCACACACACACACACACACAAACACACACAUAGAGAGAGAGAGAGAGAGAGAGAGAGAAUUUGCGAAUUGAGGUGGGAAGGGAGAAGCUUCCUUGAGGAGAAACAUGCUUUUGCAGCCUCCAGAAUUCUUCUUGCAGGGGAGUGGAAAAAGUUGGGCGGCUAUUGUUCUCUUGCUAUUACGUGAUUGAUUUUUAUCUUGUCCUUGGUAUGAAUCUCACCUUUCCACUCCAGUAGAGAAGAUUCCAUGCAAAAGGGUGCAAAGUACAAGGGCUGGAAACACUAGUUUUUUCUUUUAUGUUUAUUUAACAUGAAAUUAUUGCAGUUGCAUUUGGGAUGAAAGAUUUUUUUUAUUCUAUAAAAUCAACAGGUUUCCUUUUACAAUGUUGCUUGCAGAAGACUGUGAAGAUGGUUUGGAACUAGGUAGAAGCUAUAAGGGUCGCAUGUGUGUUUAUUAUGGUGAUAAUUUUGUGGUUGGCUCCUUGGUCAUUUGGUGUACUUGGAGCUAUGGAUUCUAGCAAAGGUAUACAGGGCACUGCUUACUUCUUCGGUUGUGGUGUAAAGUUUCCUUUGCAGUCAAUUAUUAAUCUCUUCAUGAAUUGAAGCAUGUCCAAGAACUUUGUAUGUAAUGGAGUUUAUUUUGAUUCUGCCAAUCGGUUUAUAUUGGACUGGUGCAUCCCUUUAUAAUAUGUUUCCUGUUGUAGUGUUGGGAAUGGAGUUCUAUGUACUUAUUCAUGGCGGUAAAGGACUACCAACACCUUUUAGUUGAUUGACUUAUAAUAAAGUUGCAUUAUAGGUGCUAAUAAACAAAAAAAAUGAGAGGGUGACCAGCUUCUCAUCGGCCUUGUUCUUUUUGUGUUUAGUUUUUGUUCCUUAUGUAAAGAUAAUUAUCAUUUUUUGCUAGAAUUUUUUUUUUGUUGACUUUUGUACCAGAGCUGUCACGUGAGGAUAAAUUUGGUCUUUGGAGCUGACAUACUUGAGGCUUUGGCAUCAAAUUGAAGAAAUCAAGAUUAUCCCCAUCAGCUUAGAAGAUAAAGGUGAAAUCUUAUUCCAUGUACUCGAGACCGUGACAUGUAGAGUGUGACCCAAUCUGCUCUCUCAACUCUCUGGUUUGUAUAAUAUGACUUGACCGGCUCUAAUGAAACCAAAGAUGGACGAUUUGGUGGUGCACUCUAUGUAUCCAACAUACUGUAUGUUGUGGCAAACUACUCAUCUUGUUCUUCCAACAACUAUUACUGACGUUGCUACUUGCUCUAACAUUUACUUUCUUGCUCUUGCUUCUUUUCUCCCCUAGCAUUUCUUCCUCCAAUUUCAUUAACUAUGUUGAUAUAUUGUUUCUCCAAUGAUUGCUUCCAUACUUCCACUUCAUCUAUUUCUUUGUGGAGUUUCUUUUUGCUGGUAACUAUGGGUUUGACUUACUCAGCUUUCAUUGUCUGGCUGAUUGUUGAUGCAGAUAAACUACAUUAGUAAAUUAAUGACAUGAAUGGAUGAUCUUUUACUCUCUUGGAUACCAUGUUUUCUGCGCUUAGAAGACUUUUGAACAGUCAAACCAACACUGAAAGUAUCAAAUGAUGGCGCUGAUAAAGGAGCAUUCUUUCACCGAUUGUGCUCUAGUUAACAGACAGGAGCCAAUAUUCAUAUCCCAAAAUUGAUUUAUAUGCUGCAAAAAUGUCAACCUUUAUCUUAAGAAUUAAGUGACUUCCGAAGUUGAAGAUUUAGAGACUUGUGGAUCUCCAUGUUCUCUAGAGAAUCUGUAAAUUAUAUCAAGUUCAUCUCUAGAGUUUGAAGAGGCACAUAUUGGCGGCCUCUAAUGAUUAAGAGAUGGCAUUCAUUGCCAGUUCUCUUGAACCUUCUCAUGUUGGCUUCUCUAAAUGCAAGUUUUGACUAGGGAUCCAUCCAUUUAUAUUUCCAAAAUGGUGCUGAUCUCUGCUAGCUCAAUUUUAUGCACUUGGGUCAGUGUGAAGUUUACAACUUGUAGCCUCCUGAGAUGGGCUCAAUCCAUCUAAAGCUUCAUGCUUGUGGCGCUCCGCUUGUGGGAUCGCAUCAUGUGCAGAGCAUGUGAUUUUCUAAGGCAAGUUGUAUUGAUACAACAUGUGGAGGACAUACUGAUAGGGGAAAUAAGGUAAAAUAUGCCAUGACAUCUUUUUG
Molecule: long non-coding RNA, 3174 nt
Organism: Nymphaea colorata (pocket water lily)
Lineage: Eukaryota; Viridiplantae; Streptophyta; Magnoliopsida; Nymphaeales; Nymphaeaceae
Exons: 3
Source: RefSeq, a predicted model, not a curated record